GACGAACGCUGGCGGCGUGCUUAACACAUGCCAGUCGAACGGAAAGGCCCUGCUUUUGUGGGGUGCUCGAGUGGCGAACGGGUGAGUAACACGUGAGUAACCUGCCCUUGACUUUGGGAUAACUUCAGGAAACUGGGGCUAAUACCGGAUAGGAACUCCUGCUGCAUGGUGGGGGUUGGAAAGUUUCGGCGGUUGGGGAUGGACUCGCGGCUUAUCAGCUUGUUGGUGGGGUAGUGGCUUACCAAGGCUUUGACGGGUAGCCGGCCUGAGAAGGUGACCGGCCACAUUGGGACUGAGAUACGGCCCAGACUCCUACGGGAGGCAGCAGUGGGGAAUAUUGCACAAUGGGCGGAAGCCUGAUGCAGCAACGCCGCGUGCGGGAUGACGGCCUUCGGGUUGUAAACCGCUUUCGCCUGUGACGAAGCGUGAGUGACGGUAAUGGGUAAAGAAGCACCGGCUAACUACGUG
This 468-nucleotide ribosomal RNA is filed under the name uncultured bacterium. RNAcentral's name for it is "partial 16S ribosomal RNA". It matches the Rfam family "Bacterial small subunit ribosomal RNA", at positions 28 to 507 of the family's 1533-position model. The record is from RNAcentral.